GGCGGCCGCGGGAAUUCGAUUAGAGUUUGAUCAUGGCUCAGAUUGAACGCUGGCGGCAGGCCUAACACAUGCAAGUCGAGCGGUAGAGAGAAGCUUGCUUCUCUUGAGAGCGGCGGACGGGUGAGUAAUGCCUAGGAAUCUGCCUGGUAGUGGGGGAUAACGUUCGGAAACGGACGCUAAUACCGCAUACGUCCUACGGGAGAAAGCAGGGGACCUUCGGGCCUUGCGCUAUCAGAUGAGCCUAGGUCGGAUUAGCUAGUUGGUGGGGUAAUGGCUCACCAAGGCGACGAUCCGUAACUGGUCUGAGAGGAUGAUCAGUCACACUGGAACUGAGACACGGUCCAGACUCCUACGGGAGGCAGCAGUGGGGAAUAUUGGACAAUGGGCGAAAGCCUGAUCCAGCCAUGCCGCGUGUGUGAAGAAGGUCUUCGGAUUGUAAAGCACUUUAAGUUGGGAGGAAGGGCAGUAAAUUAAUACUUUGCUGUUUUGACGUUACCGACAGAAUAAGCACCGGCUAACUCUGUGCCAGCAGCCGCGGUAAUACGAAUCACUAGUGAAUUCGCGGCCGCCUGCAGGUCGACCAUAUGGGAGAGCU
This 595-nucleotide ribosomal RNA is filed under the name uncultured Gammaproteobacteria bacterium. Its description in RNAcentral is "partial 16S ribosomal RNA". It matches the Rfam family "Bacterial small subunit ribosomal RNA", at positions 1 to 594 of the family's 1533-position model. Lineage: Bacteria; Pseudomonadati; Pseudomonadota; Gammaproteobacteria. The record is from RNAcentral.